RNAcentral lists this transfer RNA (112 nucleotides) under Clostridiales bacterium. RNAcentral describes it as "tRNA-Ser". Lineage: Bacteria; Bacillati; Bacillota; Clostridia; Eubacteriales. The record is from RNAcentral.
GCGGCAAAAAAAAUUGCCGCCAUCAAAAAACAUUGACACAUACAAAUAUUAACGUUUAAUGACAAUCGCCUUGCCAAGGCGAGGGCCGCGAGUUCGAAUCUCGUUUCGCGCU